This 352-nucleotide unclassified non-coding RNA is filed under the name uncultured fungus. Its description in RNAcentral is "sequence contains ITS1". The stretch from base 1 to 105 matches the Rfam family "5.8S ribosomal RNA", at positions 50 to 154 of the family's 154-position model. The record is from RNAcentral. Lineage: Eukaryota; Fungi.
GAAAUGCGAUACGUAAUGUGAAUUGCAGAAUUCCGUGAAUCAUCGAAUCUUUGAACGCACCUUGCGCUUCUUGGCAAUCCAGGAAGCAUGCCUGUUUGAGCCUCAGUUGACUCUCCGAACCCGCGUGUUUGGGAUCUGAGCGGACCGGCGUUCACGCCCGCCGCUCCAAACGCAUGCAGCCGGCCUCUGGAGUGUUGGAUUCGGAUGGGCUUGAUAAUGUCCUGGACUUAUUAGCUGUCCGACCCCGGCGUCUCCUUUGGCGAUGGGCGCCAGACUGUGCGGAACCGGCGCGAGCCGUUCCCACGCUCGACACCUUGAGCUCAAAUCAGGCAAGACUACCCGCUGAACUUAA